This 301-nucleotide ribosomal RNA is filed under the name uncultured Listeria sp. RNAcentral's name for it is "bacterial SSU rRNA". It matches the Rfam family "Bacterial small subunit ribosomal RNA", at positions 495 to 795 of the family's 1533-position model. Lineage: Bacteria; Bacillati; Bacillota; Bacilli; Caryophanales; Listeriaceae. The record is from RNAcentral.
UGCUAGUUUCGUGGCAGCAGCCGAGUGAAUGCGGAGUGGGCCAGCGUUAUCCGGAUUCACGUGGUUUAAAGGGUGUGUAGGCGGGCAGUUAAGUCAGUGGUGAAAUCUCCGGGCUCAACCCGGAAACUGCCAUUGAUACUAUCUGUCUUGAAUUUUGUUGAGGUAGGCGGAAUAUGUCAUGUAGCGGUGAAAUGCAUAGAUAUGACAUAGAACACCAAUUGCGAAGGCAGCUUACUAAGCAAACAUUGACGCUGAGGCACGAAAGCGUGGGGAUCAAACAGGAUUAGAUACCCUAGUAGUC